GCGGGUGUAGUUCAAUGGUAGAACAUCAGCCUUCCAAGCUGAUUGUGAGAGUUCGAUUCUCUUCACCCGCUCCA
Molecule: transfer RNA, 74 nt
Filed under: Firmicutes bacterium ADurb.Bin419
Lineage: Bacteria; Bacillati; Bacillota
Description: tRNA-Gly
Rfam family: tRNA
About the family: Transfer RNA (tRNA) molecules are approximately 80 nucleotides in length. Their secondary structure includes four short double-helical elements and three loops (D, anti-codon, and T loops).
Source: RNAcentral